GUUCAAAGCACUUACCUUUGAUUAGAAGUUGACUGGUUUUGUCCGCAAUACAGUCUUUAUUUAUACCGAUGGAAGAAUUGUACUCUAAUGGCCAUUGCAUUGCACGCUACUAUGUUUCUCUAAAAAUAAGACCCUGUCUUAUAUAUUUUUUUUGAACCCUGAAAUAAGCACUUGGCCUUAUUUUCGGGGAGGUCUUAUUAUUUCGGGGCACAUGGAGCAAGACGGGGCUGCUCUUGCCAUCUUACCUGAUUUCCAGCUGUCACCCUAACCCUAACCAGAGGAAAUGGGCUGCAUAAACAGUGGGAUAGAAUCAAGAUCACGUGAAGUGUUAAUACCACUUUAUAAUGCCUUGGUAAGGCCAUACUUGGAAUAUUGCAUUCAGUUUUGGUCACCACAAUGUAAAAAGGAUGUUGAGACUCUAGAAAGAGUGCAGAGAAGAGCAACGAAGAUGAUUAGGGGACUGGAGGCUAAAACAUAUGAAGAACGGUUGCAGGAACUGGGUAUGCCUAGUUAAUGAAAAGAAGGACUAGGGGAGACAUGAUAGCAGUGUUCCAAUAUCUCAGGGGUUGCCACAGAGCACCUGAGGGUAGAACAAGAAGCAAUGGGUGGAAACUAAUCAAGGAGAGAAGCAACCUAGAACUAAGGAGAAAUUUCCUGACAGUUAGAACAAUUAAUCAGUGGAACAACUUGCCUGCAGAAGUUGCAAAUGCUCCAACACUGGAAAUUUUUAAGAAAAUGUUGGAUAGCCAUUUGACUCAAAUGGUGUAGGGUUUCCUGCCUGGGCAGGGGGUUGGACUAGAAGACCUCCAAGGUCCCUUCCAAUUCUGAUAUUAUUAUUAUUAUUAAAUAGCGGGAACCAGCUGUGCAUGCAGUUAAAUACUUUCGGGGAGGGCUUAUUUUCGGGGAGGGGGGGCUUAUUUUAGCACAUGCACUCAAAAGUCCGAUUGGGCUUAUUAUGCAUUCAGAUGAUAAACAAAAGAUUUUAGGGGUAGUCCUUGACUUGCAACAGUUCGUUUAAUGACCAUUUGAAGUUACAACAGCGCUGAAAAUGAUUUAUAUCCAUUUUUUACACUUAUGGCCAGACUUUGUCAACCAAGAUGAUCAAGGGACUGGAGGCUAAAACACAUGAAGAAUGGUUGCAGGAACCGGUUCCUUUUUCGGGAGAAGGACACAGGCCCAAUCCUUGGAGGAUUCAAAUCAUGUGGGGUAAUUACUUUUGCCUCCCAGGGAUGGUACCUUCUUGUUAAGAAUGUCAGCUAUACUGACAGCUAAUGGAAUUGACAGGCUCCAAACUCCAUGCAAUUCAUCAUUAUUAAAGUCAUCCCAGCUUGAACAAAGAUGAAAUUAAUACAUCAUCAUAGGAGGACCUUCAAUUUCAGAUGAAGCCAAUCAGAUGAGGGGAAAAAAAUCAUCCGGCAAAUCUUUAAACACAUAACAAGAGGUGACAAAUCAAAUGGGAAUUAAUGUGAAGAAAACAUACAAAAAAAAUGCUUGAUUGGAUUUAAGCAGAAUUGACAUUACUAGGCAAAUUAACUUGGUCCUUUGUUUUUUAACCUGUGGGGGAAAAGCAUUCGCUAAAAGAGCUAUAAAAAGGCACUUUUAUUUAUAAUCUAGUAUCAACUUCCAAUUUAAGCAUAUUUUUAGUUGAACAGUUGAUCAGAAGGUGGGUCUAUCUUUGCCAGGAACCAACGUUCUACUGCCCAUUAAAUAUCUCACCACCUUGGAACAGCAUAACUACACCAAGGCACUUCUAGAGUUCAGAGUUGUUUGUUUGUUUGUUUGUUUGUUUGUUUGUUUGUUUG
Ahaetulla prasina is the source of this 1802-nucleotide long non-coding RNA. RefSeq lists it as uncharacterized. The record is from RefSeq and is a predicted model, not a curated record. The transcript is spliced from 4 exons. NCBI's taxonomy places the organism in Eukaryota, Metazoa, Chordata, Lepidosauria, Squamata, Colubridae.